GACAGAGGUGCCGAGCGUUAGGCGGAAUCACUGGGCUUAAAGCGUGUGUAGGCGGGUCGUUAAGUGUCCGUGUGAAAUCCCACCGCUCAACCGUGGAACUGCUGGGUAUACUGCUUGUCUUGUGCAACCUAGGGGCGAGCGGAACAGAUGGUGGAGCGGUGAAAUGCGUAGAUAUCAUCUGGAACGCCAAUGGUGAAAACAGCUCGCUGGGGGUUUGCAGACGCUGAGACACGAAAGCCAGGGGAGCGAACGGG
This 254-nucleotide ribosomal RNA is filed under the name uncultured bacterium. Its description in RNAcentral is "partial 16S ribosomal RNA". It matches the Rfam family "Bacterial small subunit ribosomal RNA", at positions 524 to 776 of the family's 1533-position model. The record is from RNAcentral.